Long non-coding RNA from Cololabis saira (Pacific saury), 689 nucleotides. RefSeq lists it as uncharacterized. The record is from RefSeq and is a predicted model, not a curated record. Lineage: Eukaryota; Metazoa; Chordata; Actinopteri; Beloniformes; Belonidae. The transcript is spliced from 4 exons.
GCCUGUAGGGCGCGGGCCAGCAGCUCCUGCAGGCGCGCGUCGGUCACGCAGGUGUGGUUGCUCAGGAAGUCCCGGCGCGCCGCUUCCAGCUCCGCCCGGAGAUCCUGCUCGUACGGCAGCUCGAUGGCGGAGAAGAUCCCCGCGCCGACGACCAGGUCGGAGAAAAGAACGUGCUCCUGAGAGAAGACAAACAGUCCCAGUCUGCCUCCAGCCAGGGUGUGGUCAUACACGGCCCCCGAGUCAGACAGAAUGUCCCUGCCCUCGUAGACCACCACCCUGCAACACAAGACACAGGUGAAUGAAGGGCAGCCGUCCCACUGUGAUCAAUGCAGGUCAGUCUGUAGUUGGGCCAGCCGUCCAGAUCAGAGUCUUCUCCACAUACGAAGCCAUCGCCAGCAAAGCCAACGGCACACCUACACUUGUAUAAGACCUCGGACGCCAGGCCAAGGAAUCUGCAGAGGAUGGUUACCUGGAGAUGAGCAAGCUGAUGGAACUCAAAAAAACAUCCACUUUCACUGGGAUCUCUCCUGCUCCAUGUUUGGUCUCCCUGCUGUGUCAAAAAGGCAUCACCAUAAUCCUGAAUCACUUUUUCCAUCUGUGGAAUCCACUUGUGGAAUAAUGAAUUUUACAGAUGUGUGCAUGCGUGCAAGGGCCCAUGUCCAUACGAACACACACACACACAGAAAUUU